AUACGGAGGGUGCAAGCGUUAAUCGGAAUUACUGGGCGUAAAGCGCGCGUAGGCGGUUUAAUCAGUCGGAUGUGAAAGCCCCGGGCUCAACCUGGGAACUGCUUUCGAUACUGUUAAGCUAGAGUAUGGUAGAGGGAAGUGGAAUUCCAGGUGUAGCGGUGAAAUGCGUAGAUAUCUGGAGGAACAUCAGUGGCGAAGGCGACUUCCUGGACCAAUACUGACGCUGAGGUGCGAAAGCGUGGGGAGCAAACAGGAUUAGAAACCCUAGUAGUCC
Molecule: ribosomal RNA, 274 nt
Filed under: uncultured bacterium
Lineage: Bacteria
Description: partial 16S ribosomal RNA
Rfam family: Bacterial small subunit ribosomal RNA
Source: RNAcentral